This 916-nucleotide ribosomal RNA is filed under the name Escherichia coli. RNAcentral describes it as "partial 23S ribosomal RNA". It matches the Rfam family "Bacterial large subunit ribosomal RNA", at positions 2006 to 2916 of the family's 2925-position model. Lineage: Bacteria; Pseudomonadati; Pseudomonadota; Gammaproteobacteria; Enterobacterales; Enterobacteriaceae. The record is from RNAcentral.
GAUGGCCAGGCUGUCUCCACCCGAGACUCAGUGAAAUUGAACUCGCUGUGAAGAUGCAGUGUACCCGCGGCAAGACGGAAAGACCCCGUGAACCUUUACUAUAGCUUGACACUGAACAUUGAGCCUUGAUGUGUAGGAUAGGUGGGAGGCUUUGAAGUGUGGACGCCAGUCUGCAUGGAGCCGACCUUGAAAUACCACCCUUUAAUGUUUGAUGUUCUAACGUUGACCCGUAAUCCGGGUUGCGGACAGUGUCUGGUGGGUAGUUUGACUGGGGCGGUCUCCUCCUAAAGAGUAACGGAGGAGCACGAAGGUUGGCUAAUCCUGGUCGGACAUCAGGAGGUUAGUGCAAUGGCAUAAGCCAGCUUGACUGCGAGCGUGACGGCGCGAGCAGGUGCGAAAGCAGGUCAUAGUGAUCCGGUGGUUCUGAAUGGAAGGGCCAUCGCUCAACGGAUAAAAGGUACUCCGGGGAUAACAGGCUGAUACCGCCCAAGAGUUCAUAUCGACGGCGGUGUUUGGCACCUCGAUGUCGGCUCAUCACAUCCUGGGGCUGAAGUAGGUCCCAAGGGUAUGGCUGUUCGCCAUUUAAAGUGGUACGCGAGCUGGGUUUAGAACGUCGUGAGACAGUUCGGUCCCUAUCUGCCGUGGGCGCUGGAGAACUGAGGGGGGCUGCUCCUAGUACGAGAGGACCGGAGUGGACGCAUCACUGGUGUUCGGGUUGUCAUGCCAAUGGCACUGCCCGGUAGCUAAAUGCGGAAGAGAUAAGUGCUGAAAGCAUCUAAGCACGAAACUUGCCCCGAGAUGAGUUCUCCCUGACUCCUUGAGAGUCCUGAAGGAACGUUGAAGACGACGACGUUGAUAGGCCGGGUGUGUAAGCGCAGCGAUGCGUUGAGCUAACCGGUACUAAUGAACCGUGAGG